GACGAACGCUGGCGGCGUGCUUAACACAUGCAAGUCGAACGGAAAGGCCCUGCUUUUGUGGGGUGCUCGAGUGGCGAACGGGUGAGUAACACGUGAGUAACCUGCCCUUGACUUUGGGAUAACUUCAGGAAACUGGGGCUAAUACCGGAUAGGAGCUCCUGCUGCAUGGUGGGGGUUGGAAAGUUUCGGCGGUUGGGGAUGGACUCGCGGCUUAUCAGCUUGUUGGUGGGGUAGUGGCUUACCAAGGCUUUGACGGGUAGCCGGCCUGAGAGGGUGACCGGCCACAUUGGGACUGAGAUACGGCCCAGACUCCUACGGGAGGCAGCAGUGGGGAAUAUUGCACAAUGGGCGGAAGCCUGAUGCAGCCCCGCCGCGUGCGGGAUGACGGCCUUCGGGUUGUAAACCGAUUUCGCCUGUGACGAAGCGUGAGUGACGGUAAUGGGUAAAGAAGCACCGGCUAACUACGUG
Molecule: ribosomal RNA, 468 nt
Filed under: uncultured bacterium
Lineage: Bacteria
Description: partial 16S ribosomal RNA
Rfam family: Bacterial small subunit ribosomal RNA
Source: RNAcentral